GAUGAACGCUGGCGGCGUGCCUAAUACAUGCAAGUCGAGCGAACGGACGAGAAGCUUGCUUCUCUGAUGUUAGCGGCGGACGGGUGAGUAACACGUGGAUAACCUACCUAUAAGACUGGGAUAACUUCGGGAAACCGGAGCUAAUACCGGAUAAUAUUUUGAACCGCAUGGUUCAAAAGUGAAAGACGGUCUUGCUGUCACUUAUAGAUGGAUCCGCGCUGCAUUAGCUAGUUGGUAAGGUAACGGCUUACCAAGGCAACGAUGCAUAGCCGACCUGAGAGGGGGAGCGGCCAGCGUGGAAGUGGGACACGGUCCAGAGUACUGAGGGAGGCAGCAGUGUGGAAUCUUCCGCAAUGGUCGUGAGUCUGACGGAGUCACGCCGCGUGAGUGAUGAAGGUCUUCGGAUCGUAAAACUCUGUUACUAGGGAAGAACAUAUGUGUAAGGAACUGUGCACAUCUUGACGGUACCUAAUCAGAAAGCCACGGCUAACUACGUG
This 497-nucleotide ribosomal RNA is filed under the name uncultured bacterium. Its description in RNAcentral is "partial 16S ribosomal RNA". It matches the Rfam family "Bacterial small subunit ribosomal RNA", at positions 28 to 507 of the family's 1533-position model. The record is from RNAcentral.